This 253-nucleotide ribosomal RNA is filed under the name uncultured bacterium. RNAcentral's name for it is "partial 16S ribosomal RNA". It matches the Rfam family "Bacterial small subunit ribosomal RNA", at positions 524 to 776 of the family's 1533-position model. The record is from RNAcentral.
UACGGAGGGUGCGAGCGUUGUCCGGAAUCACUGGGCGUAAAGGGCGCGUAGGCGGCGCGAGCAGUCGGCGGUGAAAGCCCGGAGCUCAACUCCGGGUCGGCCGUCGAUACUCUCGUGCUUGAGCACUGUAGAGGCAGGUGGAAUUCCGGGUGUAGCGGUGGAAUGCGUAGAGAUCCGGAAGAACACCGGUGGCGAAGGCGGGUCUCUGGACAGUUCCUGACGCUGAGGCACGAAGGUCAGGGGAGCAAACGGG